GGGUCUUUCUUCCUCAGGGAAACAGAAUCAAAACGGAGACCCCAUCGGAGCUGGGUCAGCGGCCCCAUCCCUACACUGCACCCCUGAAGCCCUGCAUGGAUUCAGUGGACAGGGCGUUGGUGGCUCAAGUUUCAUUCAGGGUCCUAAAGAGACAUCCAAGCCGGUGUCCACGGCGAGAAGAAAUACGGACGAGUCGGCUUGAGAUCCCGCACGUGCAUCUCACACGAAGCAUCAAAGGACGCCAACGCCGGAGAGAAUGGUUCCCGGGACGGAUUCACGCCAUGAACCCCUCCCCGCCUGCGUUUGAUGCCAAAUUCAGACCUGGCGGAAUUCCUGCCUGCUUGGGGAAUUCAAAGUGUUACCAUCCUCUAGCCGGCUAUGACGAUGGUGACAAAACCAGGAAGGCUCCCCUCAAGCCAACAGUGGAUGGAGCUGACGGUGCAGGUGAGCACAGGACUGGCACCAACAGAUGCGGGGAGGGAGACAGACCCCCGAUGCUCAUCACCUCCUCCCUCUGACUCCCUCACUCUGUGCCCACGGGCCCUCCCCAUCCCUCUUAGGAAGGGGGACCGGUGCCCACCCCCACGGCUGACACCGUCCGUGUCCUCCUUGGCUUGGCCGCUAGAUACCUGACUUCUCUGCACAGAUGCCCAGACUCACACCCGCAGCAUAUGGGGGUUCCCGGGCCAGGGGCUGAAUCCAAGCUGCAGCUGCCAGCCUUUGCCACAGCCACAGCAGCAGUGGAUCUGAGCCACAUCUGUGACCUACCUUGCAGCUUGCAGCCACACCGGAUCCUUAACCCACGGAGCGAGGCCAGGGAUGGAGCCUGCAUCCUCAUGGACACCAGACAGGUUCUUAACCCACUGAGCCCCAACAGGAAUGCGACCUCUUUUUAAUAACAGCCCAGAAAGUGGCAAUGGCAGAAGUUCUAAGGAGGCAGAGGCUGGUCUGAGGCUGGUCGGCACGGCUCUGGGGCUGGUCUACACAAGUUUUCUCAUAACCCCUCUUGCAGGGUCCCUGCCAAGUGCCAGCCCCCCAGGCAGGGGCGCAGGGCAGAGAGGCCAGGGCAGCAGGGUGGCUGAUUCAUACCUGUUUUUUCUCCUUUGCGGCAGCUCUGCCCACCCCACCAUGCCCUCUGCCACUUCAGGUGCCUGUGAUCAACCCACCAGUGCAGCCGGUUUGCCCCCUGCCCCAAAGCUCACUGUGCCUCUGGGAAGUCGCCCGUCCUGCCCAGAGGACGGGCGCCCCCAGGUUCUGAUGUCGGCUGCUCAGGACUCCCAAGCGCCUCCUUGACCAGGGACCACCCCCACCCCGACUUCAUGGGAGCCCUGGCCUGGACCGUCACACCUGCCUGGGUGACCACAGCUAGUGCCUGACCAACCCGGGGUACCAAAGGCCCCGUGGUGUCCUCAAGGCGGGGCCAAGUCAGUGGUACAGUGGACACUCCAGAGCUCCCCAAGGGAUCAGGCCCCAGCUGGGACCACGCCCUGCUGAGCUGUUCCCCCCCCAUCCUGCUGCAUGACUUCCUUUCCCUCGAGAGGCCGCUCUCAGGAACCCUUGCCUCAAGCUCUGCAUCCAGGAAACGUGACCCAAGACCCCGCCCUGUUGUAUCUCUGGCUUUGCUGCCUCUGCCUCCUCAGUGGAAAGACAGCCUUCCCUUGUUUGGGGCUGAACUGUGUCCCCCAAGUAGCCAUAUCCUGGGGUCCUGACCCCCCAGCCCCUCAAGAUGUGACUAUACAUGGAUCUGGGCCUUUAAAGGGGUGAUUUAAGUAAAACAAGGUUUCUGGGCUGAAGCCCCGAUCCCGUAGGACCGGGGUCCUUAGAGGAAGAGGAGGUCAGGACACAGACAUACCCAGACGGACGGCCCUGCAAGGACACGGGGAGCAGACGGCUGUCUACACGCUCAGGAGAGAGGCCUCGGGAGCCACCAGCCCUGCCCACCCCUGGGGCUCGGACGCCAGUCUCCAGAACGGGGAGACAGUGACUGUUUAAGCCUCUCGGGCUGUGGUGCUUUGUGACGUAGCUCAGCAAGUUCCACGGAGCUCUGCUCUCACUGAGUGUCCAUUUAUCCCUUCAGAAUCCAGCUGGAAUAUCAUCCCGGGUUCUCUGAGACAUUUCUCUGGAACAUUCUUGUGUCUCUCUUUAUAGAUGUGUGUGUGUGUGUGUGUGUGUGUGUGUGUGUAUAUAGUAUAUAUAUAAUAAAUUAUAAUAUAUUAUACAUAUAUACUACAUACCCACAAAUAAAGGUAUUACAUGCAAGCAAAUCUAUUUACAUAUAUGUCUGUGUGUAUGUAUACAUACAUGUAUAUAUAAUAAUAUAUUAUACAUAUAUAAUACAUACAUAUAUAUGUUAUAUGCACACAAAUCUAUUUACAUAUGUGUGUGUAUGUAACAUAGAUUUGUAUGAGUAAUAUAUAAUAAUAUACGUAUAUAAUAUAUACACGUAUAUAUGUUAUAUAUACACAAAUCUACAUGUGUAUAUAUAUGUAGUAUAUAUAUGUAUAUAAAAUAUAUAAUAACAGAGUAUACAUAUAUAAUAUAGACACACAUAUAUGGUGUAUACACACAAAUCUAUUUACAUAUAUGUCUGUGCGUCUGAGGUAUAUAUGUAUAUAUAAUAUAUAAUAACACAUUAUACAUACACGCUAUAGACACACAUGUACUAUAGUAUUAUAUGUACACAAAUCUAUUUGCAUAUAUAAAAUUUCAUCCUCGCUGGCCUUACGGGAGUCACACACACUCCUGUCCCUCCAGGGGGGAGUUUGUUUCCAGCGCCUCCAUCCUUGCCUUCCACGCAGGACCUCGUGGAGUCCCCAUCGAUGCUCGUCCAGCUAAAACGGGCUGGGCCGGUCCUUGACUCCCCAGGCCGACCACCUUUUUCUCUUCCCCAGCCGGCCCAGGUCAGGGGCAGCCCUGAGAGUGACCCCAAGCUGGCACGGGGCCCAGGACAGGUUCCCAGCCAGCUCGCCAACCCCGGCUCCAUCGCGACAGCCCUGGAGCCAGACGCUGGGCACUUAAAUUUCUCUCCACGGGGCAGCGUCUUCCUGGGGAGUCGCCGACCGAACACACCUCACCAAGAAGCUGACAGACGAAACCGAGCACCUGAAUCCGUCUCGGUUCCCCGGGGCCCCUAAUCUGGGGCUGCCUGCCCCCCACCCCGCCCCCGCAGGAGCCAGGCUGCUGGGCCCCGGAGGUCCCUCGCCCUAUACGGCCCAGCCAAGGCUGCCUGGGUCCAAAUCAGCAACCAUCAGCCUAGAUGCUGGGGGGUUUUCUUCCCUAUUGAAAUGGAUCUUUGGAGAGCCAGUCAAGGGGAAAGAAUGCAAAAGGAUGCAGUGAGUGUGGUCCCUCUCGGUGAGAGGCCCCCCAUGACACGGGAACGGGAACGUGAAACACAGGGACUCCCCCCCCCCCCCCCCCCGCACGCUUCUUCCCAUUACCUAUAAACCACACCGUCGGAGAAACUACCCAUCUGUUCUCCCCGAGAAGCGGGGAGAAAGCCUCCAGAGCGAGGCACAUUCCCAGCAAACGUUGUCCAUUGUCAGCAGCCGAGGUUUUGAAGUCCAGGUCCGAGCCCCUCUCCCUGCACCCCCCUCCCCGUAAGAAUACUAAGAGCUGCUUUGUAUGAGCUGCCUUUGGGCAGAAGGGGAAGCUAAUGCAAAUAUCAUCGGAUGGAUUAUGGCGGCUUGGCCCCCGCCUUCUGGACAAUAGAUUUCUCGCCAGACGCAACAUCAGCCACGGCCCGCAGCCAGGUUGCAUUUUUAAAAGGACUUUUGUGCAUUUCGCUCCUUCUUGGUACUUAAGCGGCCCUGAAAAGACAUCAAACGUGUUUAGUGCAGAUAUUCAGAAUAAAUGAAACCCCCUUUUUUUUUUUGGCCCUGUGCGGUUGCCUUUGUAAUAUCAGUCGUCUUAUGUGUUGCAAACUUAUGUAACUUAAGACGAAAAGACAUUUUAUAGCCUCCCGGCGGAAUGAUGGGAAAGGGACAGCAUACCUGCAGCUCCUAUCCGCCUGGGAAGGAGCCUCGGUUCGGGCCAUGGGAAAGGGGACGUUCGCGCUGCUCCUUGGGACUGACCUCCUGCCUUCCAAUAUCCCCAUACAGCGACUUCUCCUACAAGCAUGUAAAAAAAUACCUCGGUUAGUUGGUUGUGAGGAAAGAACAUGGGAGCUGGGGGGUCACCGAGACCUGUGGGAGGUUCGCCCAGGAAUCCCUUAAGCAGGCGGUUUCGGCGUAGACGUGUAUCAAUUUUCGUGUCCCUCUCUGAGUUGGUGGCAUUAAAGGCAAGUGGGAGUGGAAAACAGGAAAGUAGGAAUCCAUGUGUGCGAGUCACCUCGUCUUAAUGGGCCUCAGAUGACCCAGCGGGAAAAUGGGUCUGAUUCUACCCAGUGCAUCCGGUUGUUGCGGAUCGUAAUGAAUGCCUGAAAAGGGUUUGAGAGCCUUGGACGAGAAUCGACCACAAACACAGAGGGUUAUUGUGGAAUCCAAUCGAUGCCUUCCUUUCUCAGCGAAAUGCGGUGGCCGUCACCGCACCUGCAUCCCUUCUGGCCAUGCCCACUUCCAGGAUGCCCCAUCCGCUAGGCGCCACACCUGCUUCUGAGCCCCUCUAAAGCCCUCCGAUUUCUAUGGGCCACUCAAGAGGCCUCUAGAUAUUAGUCAUUUAUUCUGAACACACUCCUAGCAGCGUGAUUUCCAGGAGGGAAAACACAUCUUUGUGUCUCCUGCGGAUUCUUGUUCAUGUCUUCAGCAGCAGCAGCAGCAGCAGCAUGUGGGGAUGAAGGCGGGACCCACCACACCUGGCUCGGAUGGUGCCCAAUCGCAAUGGUCUUUCUUAAAGAACAGCUCAAGAGAGGUCUUGGGCUGGUCCUCUUUCAUGCAUUCUUUUGCGUCAUGACAAACUAGAGCCACCGGCCGUCAUCCCCAGGACAAGUCCCACCCCCCACCCCCGGUCACUGAGGGACAGGCCCUCCGUGGGCACUAGACCUCCAUACAGCUCCUGCCCACUCCCCUGCGUCUAUCUCCAGACUCACUUGGCCCUGAUCUCACUUUGUUCCCUCCAGGCUCCUGUCCCACCAGCCAAGCCAUUUGCCCACGUCCAGGAGGUUAGGAGACUCUUGUUUCUGGGCAGUGGUCCUUCCUUGUGCGGUGGACGGCCAGCGUGCUGCCUGAGAGAUGCCCCACUUUCAGAGCUACUCCUCAGUGGGGGUGAAACGCAAAAGGAGGCAGUCUUCCGCCCUCUCCAACACAUGGCGCCAACCCUCUGGGAACCAGGUCCGAGUUCCUUUCCCUCGGUGGGUUGCAGAGCUCAUCGCCCCAUCAGACCAGAGGUGCGAGCCAAGGGAGGGAAGAGGUGCUGCAGAGACGUGGGAGUUGAGGUACUUGUUCAUGUCACUUACGCCUUCCCGACCUGCGUACACCCGGUCCCCACGCCCCCUGGGUGUCGCAGUAUAGUCCUGCUCUGAGACUAGGGGGGGAUCCAGCCAGCUCACGCGGGACACCUGGCCAUGAGCUGUUCUUCAAAUGGCAAGUCGUUCCCAUUGUCAAGAGCGCAU
This 5545-nucleotide long non-coding RNA is filed under the name Sus scrofa (pig). Its description in RNAcentral is "lncRNA (ENSSSCG00035024013.1)". The record is from RNAcentral. Lineage: Eukaryota; Metazoa; Chordata; Mammalia; Artiodactyla; Suidae.